CAGAACGGCGUGAGCCAGUUUGGUCUAUAUCUGUUGAAGGUGUUCCUGCCUGAGAGCAAGGAAGAAUAAGUACGAAAGGAACAUUUUUCCGGAGCCUCUGGUCUACCAGUUGUCUGGCAAGGCAAUGCUGGGUAGCUACGCUCCAGCGGAUAAGGGCUGAAAGCAUCUAAGCCCCAAGCCGCACUCAAAAAUAGGCAGAUGGCAUCGGUAAACGACCGGUUUGAUAGGGCAGGGGUGUAAGAUUCGAGCAGCAAUGCG
RNAcentral lists this ribosomal RNA (258 nucleotides) under Candidatus Aenigmarchaeota archaeon ex4484_14. Its description in RNAcentral is "partial 23S ribosomal RNA". It matches the Rfam family "Archaeal large subunit ribosomal RNA", at positions 2681 to 2943 of the family's 2987-position model. The record is from RNAcentral. Lineage: Archaea; Nanobdellati; Candidatus Aenigmatarchaeota.